CCUACGGGGGGCUGCAGUGGGGAAUAUUGGACAAUGGGGGGAACCCUGAUCCAGCCAUGCCGCGUGUGUGAAGAAGGCCCUCGGGUUGUAAAGCACUUUCAGUGAGGAAGAACGCCUGGUGGUUAAUACCCAUCAGGAAAGACAUCACUCACAGAAGAAGCACCGGCUAACACCGUGCCAGCAGCCGCGGUAAUACGGAGGGUGCGAGCGUUAAUCGGAAUUACUGGGCGUAAAGCGCGCGUAGGUGGCUUGAUAAGCCGGUUGUGAAAGCCCCGGGCUCAACCUGGGAACGGCAUCCGGAACUGUCAAGCUAGAGUGCAGGAGAGGAAGGUAGAAUUCCCGGUGUAGCGGUGAAAUGCGUAGAGAUCGGGAGGAAUACCAGUGGCGAAGGCGGCCUUCUGGACUGACACUGACACUGAGGUGCGAAAGCGUGGGUAGCAAACAGGAUUAGAUACCCGAGUAGUC
RNAcentral lists this ribosomal RNA (465 nucleotides) under Vreelandella stevensii. Its description in RNAcentral is "partial 16S ribosomal RNA". It matches the Rfam family "Bacterial small subunit ribosomal RNA", at positions 338 to 795 of the family's 1533-position model. The record is from RNAcentral. Lineage: Bacteria; Pseudomonadati; Pseudomonadota; Gammaproteobacteria; Oceanospirillales; Halomonadaceae.